CCCACAGUUGCAGCCCGCUCAUGAAGUUGUGCAACUUGUCUUCUUCCGACAUGUUACUGAUGCUAAGCAUCAACGAUGUGAACUCUUUCACAUAUGCUCUAACUGAUCCGUUGUGUUUCAACCUUUUCAGUUUGUCCCUAGCAAUCCAAGAUGUAUUACUAGGAAGAAAUUGAUCCUUCAAUUCCUUUUUAAGCCGCUCCCACGACUCAAUCUUUGAUCUACCAAGACUUUCAUCUUCAGCCACACGAGUGCGCCACCAUAGCUUAGCAUCAUCACUCAAAUACAUGCUAAUCAAGGUUACUUUCUCUUUCUCGUCUUGCACACGAAUAGCAUGAAAGUACUGCUCCAUAUCCCAAAGAAAAUUCUCCAAUUCACGUGCACUCCUUGCACCUCCGAAUGCCUUAGGUUC
RNAcentral lists this long non-coding RNA (409 nucleotides) under Nicotiana benthamiana. RNAcentral describes it as "long non-coding RNA (NBEN_LNC008008)". The record is from RNAcentral. Lineage: Eukaryota; Viridiplantae; Streptophyta; Magnoliopsida; Solanales; Solanaceae.